RNAcentral lists this ribosomal RNA (292 nucleotides) under uncultured bacterium. Its description in RNAcentral is "partial 16S ribosomal RNA". It matches the Rfam family "Bacterial small subunit ribosomal RNA", at positions 505 to 796 of the family's 1533-position model. The record is from RNAcentral.
GUGCCAGCAGCCGCGGUAAUACGAAGGGUGCUAGCGUUAUUCGGAAUGAUUGGGCGUAAAGGGUGCGCAGACGGUAUGUUAAGUCAACUGUUAAAAACUCCAGCUCAACUGGGGAUAUGCGGUAGAUACUGGCGUACUAGAGGGUGGAAGAGAGAAGUGGAAUUCUCGGAGUAGCGGUAAAAUGCGUAGAUCUCGAGAGGAACACCGAUGGCGAAGGCAGCUUCUUGGUCCACUACUGACGUUCAUGCACGAAAGCGUGGGGAGCAAACAGGAUUAGAAACCCGCGUAGUCC